RNAcentral lists this ribosomal RNA (253 nucleotides) under uncultured bacterium. RNAcentral's name for it is "partial 16S ribosomal RNA". It matches the Rfam family "Bacterial small subunit ribosomal RNA", at positions 524 to 776 of the family's 1533-position model. The record is from RNAcentral.
UACAGAGGUCCCAAGCGUUGUUCGGAUUCACUGGGCGUAAAGGGUGCGUAGGUGGGUCUGUAAGUCAGUGGUGAAAUCCCCGAGCUUAACUUGGGAACUGCCGUUGAUACUAUAGAUCUUGAAUAUCGUGGAGGUAAGCGGAAUAUGUCAUGUAGCGGUGAAAUGCUUAGAUAUGACAUAGAACACCAAUUGCGAAGGCAGCUUACUACACGAUCAUUGACACUGAGGCACGAAAGCGUGGGGAGCAAACAGG